RNAcentral lists this ribosomal RNA (253 nucleotides) under uncultured bacterium. Its description in RNAcentral is "partial 16S ribosomal RNA". It matches the Rfam family "Bacterial small subunit ribosomal RNA", at positions 524 to 776 of the family's 1533-position model. The record is from RNAcentral.
UACGUAGGGGGCGAGCGUUGUCCGGAUUUAUUGGGCGUAAAGAGCGUGUAGGCGGCCAGGUAGGUCUGCUGUGAAAACUCGAGGCUCAACCUCGAGACGUCGGCGGAAACCAUCUGGCUAGAGUCCGGAAGAGGAGAGUGGAAUUCCUGGUGUAGCGGUGAAAUGCGCAGAUAUCAGGAAGAACACCCGUGGCGAAGGCGGCCUGCUGGGCUGUUGCUGACGCUGAGGCGCGACAGCGUGGGGAGCAAACAGG